This is a long non-coding RNA of Alnus glutinosa, 923 nucleotides long. RefSeq lists it as uncharacterized. The record is from RefSeq and is a predicted model, not a curated record. Lineage: Eukaryota; Viridiplantae; Streptophyta; Magnoliopsida; Fagales; Betulaceae. The transcript has 3 exons.
AUUAGAAACAAUUGGAGUGGUUUUGACGGAAACGACUCCCCAGUUUUUUCCCCGCAUCCCUAAUAUUCAGCGGGAUGCUGAAAUUAAAGCGGGAGGAUCCAGCGACUUCAAUCAGAGAGAGUGAGAUCGAGAGAGAGAUUCACCGAGAGGCUGAAAGAGAGAGAGAGAGAGAGAGAGAGAGAGAGAGAGACGAUCUUAACGGUGACGACUUUGUCUCCCCUGUUUUUUAGAAACGUUUCAAAGAUGGAUCCGUGACCUUUCCAGUACUGGAGACGAGGCUUUCUGUAGAGGUAAAGUAACUGAUAAUGAAGAAAAGGCUUGUCCUCAGCAGUUUAAAAGGCUACUUUUCUUCUCUGGAAAUGAUUAUUUGGGCUUGAGCUCACAUCCGACAAUUGGAAAUGCUGUUGCAAAGGCUGCCCAAGAACAUGGAAUGGGCCCAAGGGGUUCUGCUCUAAUUUGCAGCUAUGCCAAUUACCAUAGGCUACUAGAGUCAAGCUGGGCAGAUCUGAAGAAAAAAGAGGUAAUAGUGUAUAAUAAUUGUUAGAAGAUUUUGUUAGGAUGUCAGAGGUCUAUUAUGUGAAGUAACGUGGCAGUUUCUAGAGUAAGCAAAGUGAAGUGCAGUCUAGCUGAAUUCUUCUAGAAGGGAUUAAACAGUGUGUUUUGUGAGCCAGCUAGAGCUUUGUUGUUUUAUUCAUUUACUAUGUCGUUUUAAGCUUUUCUUAGGGAGUAUCAUUUGAGUCUAUGGGGUGUGCGUUUUGUAAGAGGCUAUAUAAGUCUCAGCAGGAGAUUAGGAGGGUAUGAAUUGAAUUGUUAGCUUGUUCAUUUAUGAACGAUGGAGGCCCUUGGCUCCUUAAAUUGCCAAGAACUUGGAGAUUAACCAUCUCGAAUUGGCCUUAUUGAAUACAAUUCUCUAUUUCUAUUCU